RNAcentral lists this ribosomal RNA (538 nucleotides) under uncultured bacterium. Its description in RNAcentral is "bacterial SSU rRNA". It matches the Rfam family "Bacterial small subunit ribosomal RNA", at positions 336 to 865 of the family's 1533-position model. The record is from RNAcentral.
CUCCUACGGGAGGCAGCAGUAGGGAAUAUUGGACAAUGGGCGCAAGCCUGAUCCAGCCAUGCCGCGUGAGUGAAGAAGGCCCUCGGGUUGUAAAGCUCUUUUGUUGGGGAAGAAAAGCAGUUGGUUAAUACCCGAUUGUUCUGACGGUACCCAAAGAAUAAGCACCGGCUAACUUCGUGCCAGCAGCCGCGGUAAUACGAAGGGUGCAAGCGUUACUCGGAAUUACUGGGCGUAAAGCGUGCGUAGGUGGUUGUUUAAGUCUGAUGUGAAAGCCCUGGGCUCAACCUGGGAAUGGCAUUGGAUACUGGAUAGCUAGAGUGCGGUAGAGGGUAGUGGAAUUCCCGGUGUAGCAGUGAAAUGCGUAGAGAUCGGGAGGAACAUCCGUGGCGAAGGCGACUACCUGGGCCAGCACUGACACUGAGGCACGAAAGCGUGGGGAGCAAACAGGAUUAGAUACCCUGGUAGUCCACGCCCUAAACGAUGCGAACUGGAUGUUGGGCUCAACUUGGAGCUCAGUAUCGAAGCUAACGCGUUAAGU